RNAcentral lists this ribosomal RNA (450 nucleotides) under uncultured bacterium. Its description in RNAcentral is "partial 16S ribosomal RNA". It matches the Rfam family "Bacterial small subunit ribosomal RNA", at positions 354 to 796 of the family's 1533-position model. The record is from RNAcentral.
GUGGGGAAUUUUGGACAAUGGGCGCAAGCCUGAUCCAGCAAUGCCGCGUGCAGGAAGAAGGCCUUCGGGUUGUAAACUGCUUUUGUACGGAACGAAGCGGUCCGGGUUAAUACCCUGGGCUAAUGACGGUACCGUAAGAAUAAGCACCGGCUAACUACGUGCCAGCAGCCGCGGUAAUACGCAGGGUGCAAGCGUUAAUCGGAAUUACUGGGCGUAAAGCGUGCGCAGGCGGUUUUGUAAGACAGGCGUGAAAUCCCCGGGCUCAACCUGGGAAUUGCGCUUGUGACUGCAAGGCUGGAGUGCGGCAGAGGGGGAUGGAAUUCCGCGUGUAGCAGUGAAAUGCGUAGAUAUGCGGAGGAACACCGAUGGCGAAGGCAAUCCCCUGGGCCUGCACUGACGCUCAUGCACGAAAGCGUGGGGAGCAAACAGGAUUAGAUACCCUUGUAGUCC